RNAcentral lists this transfer RNA (58 nucleotides) under Loxodonta africana (African savanna elephant). It matches the Rfam family "tRNA", at positions 8 to 63 of the family's 71-position model. From Rfam's summary of the family: Transfer RNA (tRNA) molecules are approximately 80 nucleotides in length. Their secondary structure includes four short double-helical elements and three loops (D, anti-codon, and T loops). The record is from Rfam by way of RNAcentral. Lineage: Eukaryota; Metazoa; Chordata; Mammalia; Proboscidea; Elephantidae.
UGGCGCAGUGGUCAAAGCGUUCGGCUGCUAACUGAAGGGUCGGUGGUUCAAACCCACC